This 378-nucleotide ribosomal RNA is filed under the name uncultured bacterium. RNAcentral describes it as "partial 16S ribosomal RNA". It matches the Rfam family "Bacterial small subunit ribosomal RNA", at positions 338 to 733 of the family's 1533-position model. The record is from RNAcentral.
CCUACGGGCGGCAGCAGUAGGGAAUAUUGCUCAAUGGGGGAAACCCUGAAGCAGCAACGCCGCGUGGAGGAUGAAGGCUUUAGGAUUGUAAACUCCUUUUGUGAGAGAAGAUCAUGACGGUAUCCCAUGAAUACGCACCGGCUAAAUCUGUGCCAGCAGCCGCGGUAAUACGGAGGGGUGAAGCGUUACUCGGAUUCACUGGGAGUAAAGAGUGCGCAGGCGGGCUUGGAAGUCAGAUGUGAAAUCCUGUGGCUUAACUACAAAACUGCAUUUGAAACUAUGAGUCUAGAGUGUGGGAGAGGUAGAUGGAAUUCUUGGUGUAGCGGUAAAAUCCGUAGAUAUAAGGAGGAAUACUCGUUGCGAAGGCGACCUGCUGGA